Molecule: ribosomal RNA, 497 nt
Filed under: uncultured bacterium
Lineage: Bacteria
Description: partial 16S ribosomal RNA
Rfam family: Bacterial small subunit ribosomal RNA
Source: RNAcentral
GACGAACGCUGGCGGCGUGCCUAAUACAUGCAAGUAGAACGCUGAAGGAAGGAGCUUGCUCUUUCUGGAUGAGUUGCGAACGGGUGAGUAACGCGUAGGUAACCUGCCUGGUAGCGGGGGAUAACUAUUGGAAACGAUAGCUAAUACCGCAUAAAAUUGAUUAUUGCAUGAUAGUCAAUUAAAAGGUGCAACUGCACCACUACCAGAUGGACCUGCGUUGUAUUAGCUAGUUGGUGGGGUAACGGCUCACCAAGGCGACGAGACAUAGCCGACCUGAGAGGGUGAUCGGCCACACUGGGACUGAGACACGGCCCAGACUCCUACGGGAGGCAGCAGUAGGGAAUCUUCGGCAAUGGACGGAAGUCUGACCGAGCAACGCCGCGUGAGUGAAGAAGGUUUUCGGAUCGUAAAGCUCUGUUGUAAGAGAAGAACGAGUGUGAGAGUGGAAAGUUCACACUGUGACGGUAUCUUACCAGAAAGGGACGGCUAACUACGUG